GUGCCCUACGGACGCAGCAGUGGGGAAUAUUGCACAAUGGGGGAAACCCUGAUGCAGCGACGCCGCGUGAAGGACGAAGUAUUUCGGUACGUAAACUUCUAUCAGCAGGGAAGAAAAUGACGGUACCUGACCAAGAAGCCCCGGCUAACUACGUGCCAGCAGACGCGGUAAUACGUAGGGGGCAAGCGUUAUCCGGAUUUACUGGGUGUAAAGGGAGCGUAGACGGCCAUGCAAGUCUGAU
Molecule: ribosomal RNA, 241 nt
Filed under: uncultured bacterium
Lineage: Bacteria
Description: partial 16S ribosomal RNA
Rfam family: Bacterial small subunit ribosomal RNA
Source: RNAcentral